RNAcentral lists this unclassified non-coding RNA (3850 nucleotides) under Hevea brasiliensis (rubber tree). Lineage: Eukaryota; Viridiplantae; Streptophyta; Magnoliopsida; Malpighiales; Euphorbiaceae. The record is from RNAcentral.
GCUGACAACAGCUGGGAUAAUUGUUGGUGCUGUUGUGGCAUUUUUUAUGAUGUACUCGUAUCUCAGGGCUAGGAAAAUACUGUAACUUAGCAACUAUUUGAGUUAGGUGGUUCAAAGGUUAACCAUACCUAGCCAAUUAAUUUUGAUUCAUCACUUGUACAAGGGACCACUUGAUGGUAUUUGAAAUACCUGGUCCCAUUUUUUGUUGGUAGUUAUAUAAACAGUAGAGUCCCAUGUUUCGCCUACAAAAUCAGGAAGAGUGGAGCUUCAUUGCUAUCGUAUGUGCUCGAGAAACGAAAAGAGGUUCCAUGUAUUCUUCAAGGAAAGAUUUUGGCCACUGAGGCAAUGGAACAGAACUUGCUCUUCAGACGUUUGUUAGCAAUGCAAUGGCAUUAAAAAAACUCAUGUUAUUGCCUGUGAUUUCUCAGCUGAAACCCUUUUCUUUAAAAUGAUUAAUGAGACCAUAAAGUGCCAAUUCUGCUGCAGCUAUUGAUUAUCCAUUACUCCUUUCCAUCUUAGCCUGGUUUUAUUUAAUUGCAGAAUACUAGCCAUGGCCAUUGGGGGGGUUUUGCCUGGCUUCCCACUGCAGGUAGACACUGCCAUCAGGAUCUAUCACUUGCAGCCAGCCAUUAACUCCACAUUGCGCAGGGAACAUUGGACAAUAGGUAUCAACUUGCGAGGCAACAAUUUAUGAGAAAUAUUUCGGGUCACCAGCACGAGUCAAGGGUUUUUUUUCAUAUAUAUAUCUAUAUAUUGCGGUAGCAUGCCAACCACAAAGAAUUCGGCAACGUUCAUGACUCAACCAAAGAAAAAUCAAGAGAAACAGAUGCAAUCAAAUGUAAAAAAUGGCGGCUACACCUAGAGGCAUGAUACAAAAUCAGUUCGACCGAAACUAAAUUGUACAAUGAAAAAUCAAAAAAGAGAUUUUUUAAGUUUAUGUAGGUAUGCUUGGUCAGGGAUCUUCAAUCCAAGCAUACUUUGAGAGAAACUAGUUUCUAUAUCAUCACCCACACCAUGACCAUAUGCUUCCAGAGUCACGUCUCUGUAGCAAAAUUUCAAUCUCAAUUAUGUGUGAAGCCAAAAACCCUCGCAAAGAAUGCAAGCCACUUGUGGCAAAUCCAUGUUUAAGAAGAAAAGGCUGACACGGAAAAUUAAGGUUUUAAAACACUAAUACCAAUUUGGUCAUGCUUAUUUUGAAGGGAUGUGUGGUUUGGCUGCUCUAUGAUAGCUAUAUUCCCCACUCCAGCUUCCAUAGCUUCUCUCUCAUCCCUUUCCCUCUUGUUUUCAGACAUGUUCCCAUCACUUGCAUGCAGUUGAACAGGAGGCAUGGAAGGUUCAAGCAGACGAGGGCCAGCAGUAAUCCAUGGGUGACUGAGGCAUUGAGCCGCUGUUGGCCUCUUUUCAGGCACAAAAUCAAGUAGGGGAAUAAGAAAGUCAGCCAUGUCAUUUGCCUCCUGCUCACUGAAAUCAUACUUCUCCAUAAGCACCUUACUAACAGGCCAGAAACGCAACCGACGGAUGUGCCUCAGAUCUCCAUAUCUAUUGAAGAAAUCCCGAGAAUAGCGACCACCUAAUGCAAUCUUACGCGGCAUCAUGCCAACAAGCUCCAUCAUCAAUGCCAAGUGAUCCUCAUCCCUAUCGUAAUUGUCGCCACUGUGAGGAUCAAAAAGGACAUCACCAGUGGCCAGCUCAAAGCAAAUACAAGCAAAGGACCAUAGAUCUGCUGGAGUUGAGUAUUUAGAUCCAAGAAUAACCUCUGGACACCUAUAUUGCCUAGUCUGGAUAUCACUUGUAAAUUGUUUGUACGUCCAACAAGCAUUUCCAAAAUCAACCAAUUUGCACUUUAAGUCAACUGCAGCCAAUAGCUUUUGCUUUGUGGAACGACUGCCUCUUCUAUGAGCAAGUUUUUCUUGACAAACACCCUUGUUUUCCUCAUGCUUUCUUGAUUCAUCUUUAGCCACCGAAGUAUUUGGUUCAAUGUGAGAGCCUUCAUUAGAUUUUGUAUCAGUAUUAGAAUCUUCAUGGCCAAGUACUUCAGUAUCUGCACUGUUUUCCUCAUAAACUUCUUUCCCCACGCUACUCUGAGCUGCCUUCUUAGCUUUCUUUCGAAUUUUCUUUUUCUGAUUUUUAGUUAGGUCCCCAUUUAAACUCUGACUAUACUUUGAAGCAGGAGACUCAGCAACAAUUUUAUUCUUGCUGGUUGGGAGGAUGAGAGGAGUGUCUGAUUUACGAGGAUCUUUAGAUGGAUCAAUCAUUGACAAAAGCAAGAUAUUCUCCGGCUUUAAAUCAGUGUGAAUAAUUGAAAGCUGGCGAUGCAAGUAAUCUAAACCCACCAAAAUAUGAAAACAUAUUUCUUUAACCAUGCCUAAAGGAACCCCUCUAUAAUCACUAUACUUAAUAAGGGUCAACAGAUUAUCUCCCAAGAACUCAAAAACCAUACAUACAUGAUGUCCAUUAGGUCCUGAAUGCUUAAAAUGAUCCAAUAGCUUUACAACACAUUUUUCAUCAUCUGGGUCUCCCUCAGCAAUCUGUUUGAGGAUCUUUAUCUCAUCCAUUGCUGCUUCAGUGUAGUGUUGGGCACUCUUUUGAACUUUCAAAGCUACAUUACGCUACAAACAAUGAAUUUCUCAUGUUGUUAAGGAGAGGAGCGAUUAAAACUAAUGGGAAGUGCCAGAAUCCAUGAGAAUGGAAAAAAAAAAUCAUAAAAAUAAAUCACCUUACAGUGUCAAUAUUGAAGGAGUACAAAAUGAACAAGAAACACUAAAUCUAGAAAAAUAAUAAACUUCAAUGAACUUUAAAACCUUCGUCAAACCUAAAAAACAAAACAUCAACAUAAUUAAGUUUGAUCCAAAACAGCAAUAACAUAAGAUGACCCUCUAAUUUUUUAAGAAACCAUCUUAUACAUUACAAUACGUGUGUGUAUUUCUUCUUUAUCUUACUGACAUGUGCACGUCAUCAACACAAUUUACUCAUUUAAGUUUUAUUCCUUCCUUUUCCCCACACUCUACAACCUGAACAAAAAUGUGUCAGUUUCAUUUUCCCAAGCUUUCUCAGCAACCAACCAGACUGAUAACCCAAAAUAUCAAAACAAAUUGAAAAAAAAAAUUAUAAAGAAAUUCGCCCCAUUUCCUUUUCCACAACAUUUUCGUCCACUAAAUACAACUUUGACCAUCAUUUGACCCAAAAAAAAGAGAGGGGGACUAACAUACCGAUCCCUGGGUAUCCCAUGCGAGCCAGACAGUAGAGAAAUGGCCCCAACCAAGCUUGCUCUGCACCACAUAGCGCCCAUUCUUGAACUUAUCCCCAAUUUGCACCGCAUGGUAACCUCCUCUCCUGUAAUCUUCCGUUCCCUCGUCCUCGGACGUGUAAUCGCUCGCGUCACUGCGGGCACCAUUCCUAUCCUCUGCCAUUGACGAACAAAAAUGAUCGAAAAUUUUCACCAAAUGAGGUAAUCAAACUUUAUGAGCGUUUCUUGACCAAGAAUGAGAAACCCAGAGGUGGGUUUUUUGUAAACAAGAAAGCAAUGGCAAGAUGGACAAACCGGGUAAUGAAAAUGAAAAUGAAAAUUCUGACGAGUGGAUAGACAAAUGAACUAAAUUUUUAUUCAAUUUGGGGAUUCCUUGGUUGAAUCCAAGAAAUCCUAUAUGGGUUUUUGUUGUAGAACAAAAACAGAGAAAAUAUGAAGAAAUUGGAGAAAUGGUAAUGGAAUAGGAUCUGAAUGAAAGAGAGCGAGAGGUCUAAGUUGAGUGAAUUUGGGAGAGAAGAAGAAGAAAGAGUAAAAAAGGAGUGAUUCUUUGGUGGUGGCGAAAAAACGAAAGAGGGUGAAUUAGGAUCUGAAUGAAAGAGAGCG